GUAAACCACUUUUUUUCUUUGUUUUUAGUGAGGAAAUGUUCAAAGCAACUAUGAUUCAUUUGAUGAAGAGAAUUUAAGUGACCUUGACUUUAAUGAUGAUCGUUUCGAAAACCAGCCUCCAGAAGAAAAUUUGCCUGAUGUUCCGAUGUAUGAUGAAUCUCCAUUUUUUACAUCCCUCUAAAGAACACAAGAUAUGGAUCUCUGAAACAUCUCCCUCCUAGAACAUUGAUUUGUGCACUUCUAAUAAAUCAAAAUCUUACUCUACAUUCUUCACUCAAGAGUUUGGUUCUAUUAUGAUGGCAUCUGUGGAUUAUAUCACAUGUGCUAAUGGAAAUGGAUAACAAUUAUAAUAGCUUUGGAAUUUGAAUUUCUUUGCUUUUGCUAAUAAAUCUCUCUUGUAAGCAUGUAAUUUAUGGCUAAAUUUUAUUCUCCAAGAAUUUACCUAUAGCAGUAAAGGCCAUUAUUUUUUGUGUAGCUUGCCUAAUUUUUAU
Equus caballus (horse) is the source of this 491-nucleotide non-coding RNA. NCBI's taxonomy places the organism in Eukaryota, Metazoa, Chordata, Mammalia, Perissodactyla, Equidae. The record is from RefSeq and is a predicted model, not a curated record.